RNAcentral lists this ribosomal RNA (497 nucleotides) under uncultured bacterium. Its description in RNAcentral is "partial 16S ribosomal RNA". It matches the Rfam family "Bacterial small subunit ribosomal RNA", at positions 28 to 507 of the family's 1533-position model. The record is from RNAcentral.
GAUGAACGCUGGCGGCGUGCCUAAUACAUGCAAGUCGAGCGAACGGACGAGAAGCUUGCUUCUCUGAUGUUAGCGGCGGACGGGUGAGUAACACGUGGCUAACCUACCUAUAAGACUGGGAUAACUUCGGGAAACCGGAGCUAAUACCGGAUGAUAUUUUGAACCGCAUGGUUCAAGAGUGAAAGACGCUCUUGCUGUCACUUAUAGAUGGAUCCGCGCUGCAUUAGCUAGUUGGUAAGGUAACGGCUUACCAAGGCAACGAUGCAUAGCCGACCUGAGAGGGUGAUCGGCCACACUGGAACUGAGACACGGUCCAGACUCCUACGGGAGGCAGCAGUAGGGAAUCUUCCGCAAUGGGCGAAAGCCUGACGGAGCAACGCCGCGUGAGUGAUGAAGGUCUUCGGAUCGUAAAACUCUGUUAUUAGGGAAGAACAUAUGUGUAAGUAACUGUGCACAUCUUGACGGUACCUAAUCAGAAAGCCACGGCUAACUACGUG